Ailuropoda melanoleuca (giant panda) is the source of this 104-nucleotide small nuclear RNA. Lineage: Eukaryota; Metazoa; Chordata; Mammalia; Carnivora; Ursidae. The record is from Ensembl.
GUGCUCGCUUUGGCAGCACAUAUACUAAAAUUGGAACGAUACAGAGAUUAGCAUGGCCCCUGCGCAAGGAUGACAUGCGAAUUUGUGAAGCGCUCCAUAUUUUU